This 460-nucleotide ribosomal RNA is filed under the name uncultured bacterium. RNAcentral's name for it is "partial 16S ribosomal RNA". It matches the Rfam family "Bacterial small subunit ribosomal RNA", at positions 338 to 795 of the family's 1533-position model. The record is from RNAcentral.
CCUACGGGAGUCAGCAGUGAGGAAUAUUGGUCAAUGGCCGGAAGGCUGAACCAGCCAUGCCGCGUGAAGGUCAGUGCCCUAUGGGCGUUAAACUUCUUUUGUGCGGGAGCAAUAAUGGUCACGUGUGGCCAGACGAGAGUACCGUACGAAUAAGCAUCGGCUAACUCCGUGCCAGCAGCCGCGGUAAUACGGGGGGUGCAAGCGGUAUCCGGAUUUUUUGGGGUUAAAGGGUGCGUAGGCUGUGAGGUAAGUCAGGGGUGAAAUGCCCCCGCUCAACGGGGUGAAGUGCCAUUGAUACUGCCUAGCUGGAAUGCGGAUGACGUGGGAGGAAUGUGUGGUGUAGCGGUGAAAUGCAUAGAUAUCACACAGAACACCGAUUGCGAAGGCAUCUCACGAAUCCGCGAUUGACGCUGAGGCACGAAAGCGUGGGUAUCAAACAGGAUUAGAUACCCGAGUAGUC